GGCAAGGCUGGGCUGGGAAGGGGGUGCGGGCCCCAGCCCCCCGGCUUCCACGGCCUCUCAGCAGCCAGGAUGAAGAAACUGAGGCCUCGAUAGUUAAUGUAAUUGACCAGAGGCACAGAGAGCCAUGAUUCACACUCAGGCCAGGCCUGCUGACCCCACAGUCUGUCUGCUUAUCAUUAUAUGGCAAAAUAUUUAAAGAUGGUCUGUGCACAGUCAGGAUGGUCUUUCCACAACCAUAGCUCGAUGGACACAGGACUAGAGCACUAACCUCUGGCUCCUUACCUGGAGAUGAGUCUGACCUCAGGUACCUGCAG
Molecule: long non-coding RNA, 314 nt
Organism: Lutra lutra (Eurasian river otter)
Lineage: Eukaryota; Metazoa; Chordata; Mammalia; Carnivora; Mustelidae
Exons: 3
Source: RefSeq, a predicted model, not a curated record